This 73-nucleotide transfer RNA is filed under the name Ictidomys tridecemlineatus (thirteen-lined ground squirrel). RNAcentral's name for it is "Spermophilus tridecemlineatus (thirteen-lined ground squirrel) tRNA". It matches the Rfam family "tRNA". Rfam says of the family: Transfer RNA (tRNA) molecules are approximately 80 nucleotides in length. The record is from Rfam by way of RNAcentral. Lineage: Eukaryota; Metazoa; Chordata; Mammalia; Rodentia; Sciuridae.
GGGGAUAUAGCUCAGUUGUUAGAGUGCUUGGCUCACAUGCACAAGGCUCUGGGUUCAAUCCCUAGUAUCUCUU